RNAcentral lists this ribosomal RNA (460 nucleotides) under uncultured bacterium. Its description in RNAcentral is "partial 16S ribosomal RNA". It matches the Rfam family "Bacterial small subunit ribosomal RNA", at positions 338 to 795 of the family's 1533-position model. The record is from RNAcentral.
CCUACGGGAGGCAGCAGUGAGGAAUAUUGGUCAAUGGACGCGAGUCUGAACCAGCCAAGUAGCGUGAAGGAUGACUGCCCUAUGGGUUGUAAACUUCUUUUAUAUGGGAAUAAAACGUUCCACGUGUGGGAUUUUGUAUGUACCAUAUGAAUAAGGAUCGGCUAACUCCGUUCCAGCAGCCGCGGUAAUACGGAGGAUCCGAGCGUUAUCCGGAUUUAUUGGGUUUACAGGGAGCGUAGGUAGAUUGUUAAGUCAGUUGUGAAAGUUUGCGGCUCAACCGUAAAAUUGCAGUUGAAACUGGCAGUCUUGAGGACAGUAGAGGUGGGCGGAAUUCGGGGUGUAGCGGUGAAAUGCUUAGAUAUCACGAAGAACUCCGAUUGCGAAGGCAGUUCACUGGACUGCAACUGACACUGAGGCUCGAAAGUGUGGGUAUCAAACAGGAUUAGAUACCCUUGUAGUC